GCCGAUGUAGCUCAGUGGUAGAGCAGCUCCAUGGUAAGGAGCAGGCCGUGGGUUCAAUCCCCACCAUCGGCU
RNAcentral lists this transfer RNA (72 nucleotides) under bacterium. RNAcentral's name for it is "tRNA-Thr". It matches the Rfam family "tRNA". Rfam says of the family: Transfer RNA (tRNA) molecules are approximately 80 nucleotides in length. Their secondary structure includes four short double-helical elements and three loops (D, anti-codon, and T loops). Further hydrogen bonds mediate the characteristic L-shaped molecular structure. tRNAs have two regions of fundamental functional importance: the anti-codon, which is responsible for specific mRNA codon recognition, and the 3' end, to which the tRNAs corresponding amino acid is attached (by aminoacyl-tRNA synthetases). tRNAs cope with the degeneracy of the genetic code in two manners: having more than one tRNA (with a specific anti-codon) for a particular amino acid; and 'wobble' base-pairing, i.e. permitting non-standard base-pairing at the 3rd anti-codon position. The record is from RNAcentral.